GAGGUGUUGUAUAACUCUGGUGCUUUUGAUGGUGUAUCAUCGUCAUAUGUGGGUAAAUUCCGACUGGGGAUGGCAUGUUGUUUCAAUCUCCUUCUCUUGGUUCCGCAUAUCUCAGAAAAUUCUGAAAAUUAAAUGAAAAGUAAUGACUCAUGAUCCCUGUGGUGGUGGAUCAUGAAAUGAAAUCAUGAAAUCAGAAAAUGCAGAAGAACGAGAAAUAUCGAGCCAGAAUCAACUGAGAACACAAAAACAAAUAAAAAACAGCAAAAGAAAUAAUAACAGCCCACAAACAAUUGGAGAAGUCUUCGAUGAGCAUUUCUUUUCAUUUCCUACAAAUAUUAAGAAUAUUUUAUGACAUAACAACCUUUUUAGACUUCCAAUGUCAUUGUGAAUUGAAAAAUAAAAAAUGAUAACAAACAACAAAGAAAUGAAGACAUCCAGAUCGACAACCACUUUGUCACAGCUCCCAACAAAUUUGUCAUCAAAUUCCAAAGCUUUCUGAAUUUUUCCCAAUAAACCAAAAGGUUUGACGUCAGGAAACAAACGAAAAAAUAAUGUAAAAAUAUAUUUCAAUAAGUCAUGAAUAAAGCUUCAAAAAAUAACAUUGAAAAAAUCUGAAAAAAAAUUCCAGAGAUGAGAUUUUGUCUCUUUACCACUGCAAAAAUCAUUGUCAAUUUUUUAUGAGGUCAUAACUGAACGACUAGACGACUAGACAUAAAAAACCUCACCUAUAUACAAACAUAUAAGUCUGUAAAUAAAUGGUGAAGACAAUUAUAAAAACCAGAGAAAACUCACCUGGAAAUUGGAAAUCAGAAGACGUAAAAUGAGAACUACACACUCGUGAAUACUUUAAUAGCUUCGUGGGUUUCAACAGUUCAAUCCACUUUUCACGUAUAUCAAUGUCAACACGAGUUUCGAGGUUAUUUGAUGUAACAAUAGAAUACUUCAAGUUUGGCUGUGGAAACACAUGGAAGCUCAACUGUGGGGCAUUGAGCGAUGUGUUAUGACAUCCGUCAACGCAGCAUUUUCUCGUAAUUAUUUUUUUUUGCGUUUUUCUGGUGCUUUCAAUGGAGAGUUCAGCCCCUGGAGUAGCCAUGGUCUGAGCUGAUGGGCAGGGCAGGGUCUGUCAACGUUAAAGUCUGAAUAACACUGAGGGAUUAGAUCAGAAAGGUGACUCAGCGUCCUCAUGGGUACGUGAAAUACCCACAUCAAGUAAUCUUAUGGCCCUGACGAUGUCACCAGGACGACAGUGGCGCCAUUGAAACUAUUCACCCGGUAAUUUUUGAAGGUUUCUAGUUGUGGAACUCGAAAAUCUGGUCGGAUUGGGCCCUAAGUCCUCUAGGACUCCGGAGUAUUUGAAGGAAAUGUAGACGAAAACUUCGGUCAUUCAAUUUAUUAUCCUAUAUAAUUUAUUAAACAAUUACCAGAUCACACAUUUCUCCUUUGGAUUCAUUUUAGAGCCCACAGGACAUUGGAAGUCCUCGAAAAAUUCGAGGGAAUUCGAUAGUGGUCCCAGGACACGAAAUUCGCUGGGACUGUGAAUAUCAUUAUUGAUGUGUUGCUUGAGGGUCUCAGGCUGGUGAACACUGCACCAUGUUUGGGCUAAACUUAUCCAGAACAUUUGUUGUGGAGUGUAGAAGAGCCCUGGGAGCAUUAACUCCUGCUGAUUACGUGAGGACCAAUCUUUGUGAUGAAUCAUCUCGUGCCCAAUGAUGCUGCCAAUGGCACCAUAGUUCAUGUACUUUGGACGAUCAUUGUUGACGAAGGGAGACUGAAGAAUCGCAGCUGAGACCUCUGAAAAAUUGUCUCACCAAUAGUUCAUCAAUUGCUUACGAACAUUCCUGAUGGAACCAAUGACCACUCGAGGCCCUAGGGAUUUUUAGUCACAUUGGAUUGUCGUCCGAGGGGAACGUAAGGACCGAUAUCUCACACGACCAAAAAUCCCUAGGGGACUGAUCAUGAAGGAUAUUUUUCCCUAGUGAUUUUCACGUUUUCGAGUUCGAGAAAGGGCCAGUGCCAAUCCCAGAACGAAAAAGAAUCGUUCUCAAUCCAAUCGGCCGUUUGGGGAAUCUGCAUCAAUUGAUGCUUGAUGUACUGCACCAUUUCCGCAACAUUUUCCUUAUUUUCCUCGAGAAAGUGGUGUUUAACAUAAAGAGCUUCAACCCCUACAGGUCCAAGAUCGCUGUGGUGCAGUUAGGGAUCAUGACGACUUGAUUAUCGUUUAGUUCAAUGCCAGCCCCAUUUUUGAUAAAGAGAAACCAUUUCCAGGGAAUUCCAGGAAUUUCAUUCUCCAGUUUGUUC
Diachasmimorpha longicaudata is the source of this 2298-nucleotide long non-coding RNA. RefSeq lists it as uncharacterized. The record is from RefSeq and is a predicted model, not a curated record. The transcript is spliced from 6 exons. NCBI's taxonomy places the organism in Eukaryota, Metazoa, Arthropoda, Insecta, Hymenoptera, Braconidae.